GAACAUCUUCUCUAUUGUAUCACACAGUCUACUUUUAAGGACAGACAUUGCCAAAUAAAGUUUUUGGAUGAUUCAUGUCAGUACAAAGAAAAAUUAAUUAUUAUACUACAGAAAUAGGUUUAGAAGUGUUGGAAGUGUCGUUGUCAUUGAGUUAGACUUCAAUAAAGGCUCCAUAGAUGGUUUUGUCCCCGGGCGCUGAAGACAGAUACUCAGAAAUGCCAAAGAGAACAAGUGAAAGCUUUCAGAAAGACUGGUGUCAAACUGAUUGUUACUGUAGGUGCAGCAGAAUGAGUUAAAGUCAGGUGAAAGGGGUAGGGGGUUUAAAACAACACUUAAACAGCAGAG
Xyrichtys novacula (pearly razorfish) is the source of this 345-nucleotide non-coding RNA. Lineage: Eukaryota; Metazoa; Chordata; Actinopteri; Labriformes; Labridae. The record is from the annotation of a GenBank genome assembly.